UCAUUUAAUAAUCAUCAUAUUUAGGUACUCAUGUAUUAUGGAUAUUGAAUUGUAAUUUGACAUAAUUUUUUAGAUAUUGAAUGAAUUAAAGAGUGUGAUUUUCUGUAUUAAUGCAUGAGAUGUUUAAUAGAUUUGUAUGUUAAUAAAAUUUGAAAUUGUAGUUUGUUGUGUAUUAUGAAUAUUGGCUGUGAGUGUAAUAUCAUAGCAAUAGAUUUCUAUAUAUCAAAAAUUAAUAAUAUUUAAU
RNAcentral lists this long non-coding RNA (244 nucleotides) under Ananas comosus (pineapple). RNAcentral describes it as "long non-coding RNA (ACOM_LNC007650)". Lineage: Eukaryota; Viridiplantae; Streptophyta; Magnoliopsida; Poales; Bromeliaceae. The record is from RNAcentral.